CCGGUUGAUCCUGCCAGAGGUUACUGCUAUCGAGAUUCGACUAAGCCAUGCGAGUUGAAUGUUCUUCGUGAACAUGGCGGACUGCUCAGUAACACGUGGACAACCUACCCUUCGGUCCGGGAUAAUCCUGGGAAACUGGGGAUAAUACCGGAUGGGCCACAUAUGCUGGAAUGCUCUGUGGCCGAAAGCUUUUGCGCCGAAGGAUGGGUCUGCGGCCUAUCAGGGUAGUAGUGGGUGUAACGUACCUACUAGCCUACGACGGGUACGGGUUGUGAGAGCAAGAGCCCGGAGAUGGAUUCUGAGACACGAAUCCAGGCCCUACGGGGUGCAGCAGGCGCGAAAACUUUACAAUGCGGGAAACCGUGAUAAGGGGAUCUCGAGUGCCAGCAUAUAAUGUUGGCUGUCCAGAUGCCUAAAAAGCAUCUGUUAGCAAGGGCCGGGCAAGACCGGUGCCAGCCGCCGCGGUAACACCGGCGGCCCGAGUGGUAACCGCUAUUAUUGGGUCUAAAGGGUCUGUAGCCGGCCAGGUAAGUCCCUUGGGAAAUCUGGCAGCUCAACUGUCAGGCUGCUAGGGGAUACUGUUUGGCUUGGGACCGGGAGAGGUGAGAGGUACCUUGGGGGUAGGGGUGAAAUCUUGUGAUCCUCGGGGGACCACCAGUGGCGAAGGCGUCUCACCAGAACGGGUCCGACGGUAAGGGACGAAAGCUAGGGGCACGAACCGGAUUAGAUACCCGGGUAGUCCUAGCCGUAAACGAUGCUCGCUAGGUGUCAGUCACGGUGCGACCGUGAUUGGUGCCGUA
RNAcentral lists this ribosomal RNA (800 nucleotides) under uncultured Methanosaeta sp. RNAcentral describes it as "bacterial SSU rRNA". It matches the Rfam family "Archaeal small subunit ribosomal RNA", at positions 4 to 805 of the family's 1478-position model. Lineage: Archaea; Methanobacteriati; Methanobacteriota; Methanomicrobia; Methanotrichales; Methanotrichaceae. The record is from RNAcentral.